Molecule: ribosomal RNA, 251 nt
Filed under: uncultured bacterium
Lineage: Bacteria
Description: partial 16S ribosomal RNA
Rfam family: Bacterial small subunit ribosomal RNA
Source: RNAcentral
UACGGAGGGUGCGAGCGUUGUCCGGAAUCACUGGGCGUAAAGGGCGCGUAGGCGGCCUGAUAAGUAGGGGGUGAAAUCCUGCGGCUUAACCGCAGGGCUGCCUUCUAAACUGUCAGGCUCGAGCACAGUAGAGGCAGGUGGAAUUCCCGGUGUAGCGGUGGAAUGCGUAGAGAUCGGGAGGAACACCAGAGGCGAAAGCGGCGACCUGGGUCGAUACUGACGCUGAGGCGCGAAAGCGUGGGAGCAACAGG